UGAACGUGUUAUCUACUUACUUUGAUUUCUAUGCUUUUAAUUAAAUACUUUUUUGUUCAUUUUAGAGAAACCCCGACUACAAGUCCUCCUACAACCUCCGGCUUCACCACUUCUCCUCCUCCCUCCCCCCGGUUCUUAUUUUUUAAAGAUUUCAAAAAGAAACCCCACAACUACAAGUCCUCCUACAACCUCCACUACAACCUCCACCACCUCUGGCUCCACCACUUCUUCCAAUCCCACCCCCUCUCCUCCUCUCCUUGUGUUGGGGUCUGCUGUUUCAGUCGGUGUCCUGGUUCUCCUGGUUCUCCUGGUUCUCCUGGUUCUCCUGGUUCUACUUGUGAGACACAUCCGUAGGAAACCUAAAGCUCAAGCUGAGACUGGAGAUGAUGACGUCACAUACAGUGAUAUCACAAUAUCACGUAACCUGAAACAGCCAAUCAGACGGAGCGGAGAGAGUGAUCCUGCUGCAAUCUCCGGAGUGAGAACAGAAGAUGUCUGUUACGGACAAAUAGUGAUCAAAGACAAGAAAUCAAACAGGAAGAAAGAGAGCGAUCCUGCUGCAAUCCACUCCGGAGUGAAAACAGAAGAAGUCUGUUACGGAGAAAUAGCGAUCAAAGACAAGAAAUCAAACAGGAAGAAAGAGAGUGAUCCUGCUGCAAUCUACUCCGGAGUGAGAACAACAGACGUCAAAGACAAGAAAUCAAACAGGAAGAAAGAGCCUCCAGCAGAGCCAGAGGUCCUCUACUCCUCACUGAGGAAGACCUGAACACCAUCACACCAGUCCAACCAGUGGAGUCCAGCCGGCCAAUCACUGGUCCCCAGAGAUUCUCACAUCUACAUCUGUAUAGCCCCGGCGUAUUUGUCGAAGAUUUUAAACCUUUGCGAGCAUAAAAAGGUCAGUCCGGUCAUCCAAUCAACUGGCUUUAGAAGUCCCAAGGUAGAGGUACAAACUGUGGGGUCAGCCCUAUGUUCCCACAGCCCUAUGUUCCCACAUUUCUAAGAUUUUUCUUAAAAUUAAGGUUAGGGUUACGUUUGCAACAAACAAAGAGAUGGGCGCACCAGAUUUAGCUAAAAGCUACAUUCCAUCUGUAGUCCAUAGCUACUGGAUAAUAAGUUGGGUGUAAUUGGCUACCAAAUUGGGAGAAAGGGGGAUAAAAUCUGAUACAAAUUUAUGAAAAAGGAAAUGUGGGAACAUAGGGCCUAAUUUUGAAAAAAAUCUUGAAUUUGUGGGAACAUAGACCUGUGGGACCAUUGGACUGUGGGAAAAUAGGCACGCUCCCCAAACUGAAGGGGGGUCACUCUUGUUGCAGCUUAGAUUUUAGAACAAGUUACAUUCACACCAUUACAGACGUUGUUCUUUUGAAAUACAAAUUUAAAACUUUAUUUAGAAUGGCUUUUAAUGCACAGUAGCGUUGCAGCAUUAUCUCUUUAUUUCUCCUGUUUCUAUGCAACAGUUUCAGAUUUUACUGUAUUUUAUGUUUUAUUCAUUUUAUUGUAUGGUAUGUUGUUUUAUUCUUGGUCCUUCAAGCACUUUGGAUACCUGUUGGUUGCUGUGAAGCACUUUAAGAAUAAAUGUUGAUUGAUGUUAAUGCAGCUAGAAAGAGACAAUCAACUCACAUUUUAAGCAUGUUUGCAUUCUUUAGAUGCGUUUCGUUCAAACAAAUACUUAUUUAAGUCAUAGAUUUGUUCCUCUGUAAGUGUUUCAUACGUUGCACAACAACCAACAAAUAUCUACUGAACAGAGUCUAAUGAUAAUAACUAUUUACUGAUAUUUAUUUUGUAUUUAUGAGCUUGUUUCUGUGCAGGAUCAUUAAACUCUGG
RNAcentral lists this long non-coding RNA (1821 nucleotides) under Sander lucioperca (pikeperch). Its description in RNAcentral is "lncRNA (ENSSLUG00000023015.1)". Lineage: Eukaryota; Metazoa; Chordata; Actinopteri; Perciformes; Percidae. The record is from RNAcentral.